RNAcentral lists this long non-coding RNA (1627 nucleotides) under Nicotiana benthamiana. RNAcentral describes it as "long non-coding RNA (NBEN_LNC028502)". Lineage: Eukaryota; Viridiplantae; Streptophyta; Magnoliopsida; Solanales; Solanaceae. The record is from RNAcentral.
UAUAGGGUUCUAGGGUCUUCAUAAGGAAACCUCUAUAUUUCUCUGGAACCUUCCUACAAGUGCGUAAAUAUCUAGAACAUGUUCUAGGAAAUUCUCCAUAGUUCUAGAAUAUUCCACCAGAUCUAGUCCCUAACUUAUGUAACCAUUCCAUAUGAAAAAAGAUAUGCCAAGUGGAACCUACGUAGCAUGAUGAUGUGGCGGGUCAUGACACUCUAUCCCACCCAAUUUUGUGCCGCCCCCGGCACAAAGCAUCGAUACAUAUGCGUGCACCUCGCCUUGGCAUCUCCGGAGAUCUUUGUCCAUUAUCCAUGAUGCUCUAUGGAGCGGUUUGCCUUCCCAUUUCACAAGGUAUCAAUCACCUUUCUUCUUACACCGUUUGUACUUUGGACGACUUUCAAUGAUGGCCUCGAUCCUCCGCCCAUCAUAUGCCCUUCCUUGCUCUUUGCUUGAAUCUUCCCAUGACUCAACCAAGUCUAGCAGCUUCUCAAGCAUCGGGUAUAUGCUUGCACUCCCUCUUUAGUUGUCGUCCGUGGUCACAGCCUUGCUAGCAAACUUGACCCAUCUGCCCGGUCCAUCUUCUGAGUCUGAUAGCGUGCCAUCACUUUUGUAACGCGCAAUCCUCUUCUACUAUCAGCCCAACUUUUCUUACUGGUAUCAUGCUCCAUUUGCAUGGCACAAAGAUAAGCUUUGUAAUCCCCUACUUUUUCUUAAAUUCCAUGCGCAUCCCUCCAAUGCAUGCGGUUUCUAUUAUGUCAUCCUUAUGUGUUUGAGCAAAAUUCCCUAUCAUUGCUGCAUGCUUCCCCAACUCUGGGCAUUCACUUGCCCAGUAUGACCCUUUGCAGAAGUAGCACCCUCCCUUAGGCACGUACUCCUUCCCAUUUUCUGGCCCCUUGCCGUUUCUCUUGGACCCUUGUCCGUUACGGGAUCACCCUUUGCGAUUACCCUUGUAUACCUCGGCUAUGCAUUUCCCUUUGUCCUCAUCAUGAUCUCUCCCAUCCCUCUCAGCAUUGCCUUCUUUGGACUUGGCACUCCAUCUUGAAGUCAACAAGUGACUAGGCUACUCCGAUGGCCUAGUUCACGUUGGCUACUUGAUGUCUACUUAAUUUUUGCUUUGCCCAACUUUGCAACACAUCCAUGAAGUAGAAGAGGGAAUAUUCCUCGGACACUGAUAAGAUUUGCAGCAUUAAGGUAGUGAACUCGCGUACAUACUCCCGAAUUGUGGCCUCUAUCGGAGCUCCUUUAGCUUCCGCGAGUCUGUCAGCUCGCGUGCAGCCCGUGCACCAUCAUACUGCUUUCGUUUAGGGACCUUCGCGUUGAUCCCUUCUGCAAGUACCAUGCCCUUGGUAAAUCCGGCCAUGGGUCCCUACAAAACUUCCUUCUAGCAAUCUCUUGUGUUCUUUCUAACAUUCCUUAGACAUAACCUUUGCUUUGAUACCUCGUUGCCACGUCCUUAGUUAUUAACUAAGUACACGUGCGGGCACUUGGCAACUUGCUCACGAUCUUGCACAACUUGCUCUCGUUUUUGCUAUGCCAAGUCAGCCUUAUUACACUCAAGAUCGCUAAGAAAUGUUAUAACGUAUGAGAAUUGCUAAAGGAAGCUUUUGUAGUAGAGAAAACUUGAUUGUUU